UUGACGGAGAGUUUGAUCCUGGCUCAGGACGAACGCUGGCGGCGCGCUUCAUACAUGCAAGUCGAGCGGGGUCCAUCGGGCUUGCCCGAGAAGACCUAGCGGCGAACGGGUGCGUAACACGUGAGCAACCUG
This 132-nucleotide ribosomal RNA is filed under the name Actinomycetota bacterium. RNAcentral describes it as "partial 16S ribosomal RNA". It matches the Rfam family "Bacterial small subunit ribosomal RNA", at positions 1 to 128 of the family's 1533-position model. Lineage: Bacteria; Bacillati; Actinomycetota. The record is from RNAcentral.